Hibiscus syriacus is the source of this 686-nucleotide long non-coding RNA. RefSeq lists it as uncharacterized. NCBI's taxonomy places the organism in Eukaryota, Viridiplantae, Streptophyta, Magnoliopsida, Malvales, Malvaceae. The transcript is spliced from 3 exons. The record is from RefSeq and is a predicted model, not a curated record.
AAUACAAACCCAAACUCAUCCUUAUCUUCACCCGUUCCCAUGCUUCGCUGUUCUCUACAAGCUCGAUAGAAUGGGAGCUGAACCAUGGAAAGUUCUCAACCAGUCUAGGUCUAAGCUCUGGCAUCAUGCUGCAACUGUCGGAGAAAAUGUUGUUGGUGAAGAAGUACCGGAAGCUGAAGUGGUCGCAGCGCCGACUAAGUUCACUUUCAACUAUUCGCUAGUCGAUGUUGCUCUUCGGAUCUUACUAUUUGCAGCGGCUUUAAGUUCUGUGGUGGUCAUAGUUACCAACAAGCAAACCGAUGGGUUGAGACUACGGAGGAAGAAGAUGGAGCAGCUAACAAUGGCUACUAUUACUGCCCGUUAAAAAUCAAGAAAGGAAAGGCGGUUUGCCUUUUUAAGCGAGACAGAAUGAGAUCUAAGAUAUUCUUGGAAAUUAAAAAAAUUAAGGGAAAACAAAAAGAAAUAUCAUAUGAAGAUAAAGGAAAAAUGGGGUUAUGAUUCCAACAAGAAAAAUCAGUGUUGCCUAGGAAAAUAAAGUGGUAAAUCACAAGAUUUGAGUUCGUAUAUUCGAAAGUUCGGGUUCUUGAUUGUUUGGGUUUUUGUCGACGUCCUGAUUCUGAUUCCGAAGUAUGUUUCGCCAAAUUCGAACUCGGAAUUAUUGGAAGUUGAAUUAAAGAUCGAGGGCG